CCCGUUAAUACGACCAAAAUAUUUUGGCCGAACGGUGGUCGUAUUAACGAGGUUCCACUGUACUACCGUUCCAGCAAUAUCUGUAAAUAUAUUUGUUGUGUUGGUGUAAUGUACUCAGGUGAAUAAGAUGCUUGUUACUCUGAAUGUAUAUACACACCGGGCAGGCUUGAGAGAUAUGCCUGGCCACGGUGGGAAUCGAACUUACGACCUUUGGAACACUAGCCCAACGCUCUGCCAACUGAGCUACGCGGUCAGGACGGUUCGAGUAUGCGAUAUUUCGGAACUGAGUCUAGUUCCUUCGAUAUCAGUGUAAUCUAAUAAUCAUGAAAUCUGCUGUGCUGGUGCAAUGUACCCAGGUGGAUAAGAUGUUUGUGUGAUGUUAUUAUGAGUGUAUAUCCAG
Molecule: non-coding RNA, 400 nt
Organism: Paramuricea clavata
Lineage: Eukaryota; Metazoa; Cnidaria; Anthozoa; Malacalcyonacea; Plexauridae
Source: the annotation of a GenBank genome assembly